RNAcentral lists this ribosomal RNA (253 nucleotides) under uncultured Eubacteriales bacterium. RNAcentral's name for it is "uncultured Clostridiales bacterium partial 16S ribosomal RNA". It matches the Rfam family "Bacterial small subunit ribosomal RNA", at positions 524 to 776 of the family's 1533-position model. Lineage: Bacteria; Bacillati; Bacillota; Clostridia; Eubacteriales. The record is from RNAcentral.
UACGUAGGGGGCAAGCGUUAUCCGGAAUUACUGGGUGUAAAGGGAGCGUAGACGGUUAAGUAAGUCUGGAGUGAAAGGCCGGGGCCCAACCCCGGGACUGCUCUGGAAACUAUUGAACUUGAGUGCAGGAGAGGUAAGCGGAAUUCCUAGUGUAGCGGUGAAAUGCGUAGAUAUUAGGAGGAACACCAGUGGCGAAGGCGGCUUACCAAACUAUAUCUGACGCUGAGGCACGAAAGCGUGGGUAGCAAACAGG